This 863-nucleotide ribosomal RNA is filed under the name uncultured Neocallimastigales. Its description in RNAcentral is "partial large subunit ribosomal RNA". It matches the Rfam family "Eukaryotic large subunit ribosomal RNA", at positions 26 to 605 of the family's 3401-position model. Lineage: Eukaryota; Fungi; Neocallimastigomycota; Neocallimastigomycetes; Neocallimastigales. The record is from RNAcentral.
CGCAUCUGUGCAUGCAGCAUAUCAAUAAGCGGAGGAAAAGAAACUAACAAGGAUUCCCUUAGUAACGGCGAGUGAAGCGGGAAGAGCUCAAAUUUGAAAUCUUCAAGGUUUUACCUUGACGAAUUGUAGUUUAAAGAAGUGUUUUCUGUCGAAGUUUUGGUAAAAGUUCUUUGGAAUAGGACAUCAUAGAGGGUGAGAAUCCCGUAUUUGACCAUUAUUUUCAGCUGUGUGAUACACUUUCAAAGAGUCGGAUUGUUUGGGAAUGCAGUCCAAAGUGGGUGGUAAAUUUCAUCUAAAGCUAAAUAUUGGCGAGAGACCGGAUAGCGAACAAGUACCGUGAGGGAAAGAUGAAAAGAACUUUGAAAAGAGAGUUAAACAGUACGUGAAAUUGUCAAAAGGGAAGCGUUUGACACCAGUGUUGUUUUCUCGAAAAUCAAUUAAAAAGAGUUAGAUUUUGUUGUGUAUUGACCUUAACAGCUUGCAUUUCAAUUUUCUUGCUUUUUUUAAUGCACUUUUCGUUUAACAAGUCAACAUCAGUUUCUUUUGUUGUAAAAAGGUCAUUGGAAGGUGGCUUUCUUUUCGGAGAAAGUGUUUAUAGCCUUUGACUCCUGCAAUCGGAGAGACUGAGGUCUGCAGCGUAGAUCCUUCGGGGUUAGAUACAUUUGUGCUAAGUUAUAGCUUUUUAUAGACAACUUGUUGACUAUGAUUAGUCUUGUAGCUUACUCGCUUAUGCUAUUUUACCUACGCUUAGGAUGUUGACACACGCGCGUGCUCGAUCUAUACAUGACUCUGCGCAUAUCAAUAAGCGGAGGAAAAGAGGGCUACUUACCUACGCUUAGGAUGUUGACACACGCGCGUGCUCG